ACGGGAGGCAGCAGUGAGGAAUAUUGGUCAAUGGGCGGAAGCCUGAACCAGCCAAGUAGCGUGAAGGAUGACGGCCCUACGGGUUGUAAACUUCUUUUGCCGGGGGAUAAAAAACGGGACGCGUCCCGUCUUGCAGGUACCCGUGCGAAUAAGGACCGGCUAAUUCCGUGCCAGCAGCCGCGGUAAUACGGAAGGUCCGAGCGUUAUCCGGAUUUAUUGGGUUUAAAGGGUGCGCAGGCGGUGGAUCAAGUCAGUGGUGAAAUGGUGCGGCUCAACCGUAGCAUUGCCGUUGAAACUGGUUCACUUGAGUGCGGACGAGGCAGGCGGAAUGUGUUGUGUAGCGGUGAAAUGCAUAGAUAUGACACAGAACACCGAUUGCGAAGGCAGCCUGCCAGGCCGCAACUGACGCUGAGGCACGAAAGUGCGGGGAUCGAACAGGAUUAGAUACCCUGGUA
This 455-nucleotide ribosomal RNA is filed under the name uncultured Prevotella sp. RNAcentral describes it as "partial 16S ribosomal RNA". It matches the Rfam family "Bacterial small subunit ribosomal RNA", at positions 341 to 792 of the family's 1533-position model. Lineage: Bacteria; Pseudomonadati; Bacteroidota; Bacteroidia; Bacteroidales; Prevotellaceae. The record is from RNAcentral.